CUCAUUGCCAAAAUCAAAUCCAACCACACUCAUUUUAUAUAAAAUUUACCGAUUUAUGGGAUAAAUUGGUGUAGUCGUUACAAAGUUAUAUUGUAACCUGCAUGAAACAAUUUAUAAAUCAAAUGCACUACACAGUAUAUAAACCAAUAAGAGAAAACAUGUUCACCAUAAAUUAGCAUUUACUGCAUUGAUCAACUUAAUCCAUCCACAUGAGUAAUCAUACAACCAAAUGGAAAAUGAUAUAAAAUCACUCUGAAUCUUAGAAUAAUACCCACCGAGUGCGCAAUCAAGCUUUCAAGACUCAUUAAUAUUUUUGCAGUUGAUCAGAAUCACUGAGUUUCAGGGAGAACAAUAAAACCAUCCACAGAUCAUUACAUGCAAUGUUCAUAGAUCCAUGGGAAGGGAAGAAUCUAUCACAGUACACAAAUACUAACCCAUGCACCUAAAUUGAAUGUAAACCAAAUUUACUCCAAAAUAAUUGAAGCAACUAAAAGAAUGUAAUCAUCACAAAUUAUAAUUCAGUGUGUGCUUCAAUAAAACUACUCCAUAUGAAAUCCACAAAGACAUCCAACAAACAAAGGUGAGAUUAUGAUACUUUAGCAGCUUUCCUUAUUUUGAAUGCAAUAAAAUUGUCAGUAACUGUGCUUUAAAUUUAAAGCUAAUACGGCUUUUGUUAGAGCAAGAAGAGCAUCGAACUAUCCAGAAAAAAAAUAGCACAACCUAAACAAUUAACAUACGCAGAGAAGUUUUUAAAAAAAAAAAUGAAAAACUAUCAAUAAUGUGCAUAAAUCACUACCUGCAACGUGCAUAAAUAGAUUAUCAAUGAAAACCCAAUAGAGAGUGGAAAACCAGAAACUAAAAUGCACAUGCAAAUGCCAAUCUAAAACUUAACCUAAUUAAUAUGCAAAAAUUGACAAAGGAUUUCCAAUUAAUAUAAUAUAAACGAUAGAUUAAAAAAGGGGAAGGAAAAAAAAAAGCACAAUCAGUACUAAAAACAAGCCAAUCAAUAAAUUUUAAAACCAAAAAACCUCAAAUCCACAAGAAGCUCAAAAUGAUCAUCAAAUCUAAGCAGCGAAUUACCCACAAAAAAAAAAGUUCAAAAACAACUGUCAACUGCACCUGAAAAGCUGAAUCUAUCUAGAAAUACAAUAAACGAUCAGAAAUAAAAAAAUCGCCAUUAAAAAGCUAAAUCUCAAAAGAAAAAAACCACAGAUCUACAACUUAGGGGGAAGGAUAUAUUGACUGAGGUGAGGAAGAGCUGUUUUGUACCUGGAAUCAAAGGAACAGAGAAGAAAAGGAUAUGUCCUUGCGGUUCUAGAAAUCCCCUUCGUUGCGAAACCAACGUUGGAGACGGUAUACUAGAACCUUUUAUUGUGGG
This 1378-nucleotide unclassified non-coding RNA is filed under the name Hevea brasiliensis (rubber tree). Lineage: Eukaryota; Viridiplantae; Streptophyta; Magnoliopsida; Malpighiales; Euphorbiaceae. The record is from RNAcentral.